GCUUGUGAUGAUAUUAUUUAAAAGAAUAGGAAUUGCCGUCAGAUCGAUACUUGACGACAUUACAUAAUCUGAAG
Small nucleolar RNA from Exaiptasia diaphana, 74 nucleotides. RefSeq annotates it as small nucleolar RNA SNORD49. The transcript has a single exon. NCBI's taxonomy places the organism in Eukaryota, Metazoa, Cnidaria, Anthozoa, Actiniaria, Aiptasiidae. The record is from RefSeq and is a predicted model, not a curated record.